UACGUAGGGUGCGAGCGUUAAUCGGAAUUACUGGGCGUAAAGCGUGCGCAGGCGGUUCGUUAAGUCAGAUGUGAAAGCCCCGAGCUCAACUUGGGAACUGCAUUUGAAACUGGCGGGCUGGAGUGUGGCAGAGGGGGGUGGAAUUCCACGUGUAGCAGUGAAAUGCGUAGAGAUGUGGAGGAACACCGGUGGCGAAGGCGGCAUCCUGGACCGACACUGACGCUGAGGAGCGAAAGCCAGGGGAGCAAACGGG
Molecule: ribosomal RNA, 253 nt
Filed under: uncultured bacterium
Lineage: Bacteria
Description: partial 16S ribosomal RNA
Rfam family: Bacterial small subunit ribosomal RNA
Source: RNAcentral